CUCAUCUUUCUUACCCCGUAAUAAAUGCUGCCCUUUUAAGUGUCUUAUUACGUUUUACUUGAUCCAAAUUGAAUUCCAAUAUCGAUCUUUACAGUUUAAUCGUGUAUAGCAGCCUUAAAAGUGGUAAAACUAUCUACUGAAACAUGUCAAAUGUUGCACUUAUAUGCCAAUUUCAACUGCCUUGGCUUUUAGUGAAAAGAAAAGAUUUGCAAGCAUUCCCAUGUGUAACAUUAUAUUGGUUCCUUGUCCCAC
RNAcentral lists this long non-coding RNA (252 nucleotides) under Mytilus galloprovincialis (Mediterranean mussel). The record is from RNAcentral. Lineage: Eukaryota; Metazoa; Mollusca; Bivalvia; Mytilida; Mytilidae.